UUAACAAAAAAAAUCAUUUUAAAAAGUAAUUGAAAACUAAAACCAAUACUGUUUAUGACAAGAUUAAAUCAAUUAUUUUCCUUAUAUCAAAGUCAAGUCAAGUUAAAUUCUUAAAAUAUUCAAAAUCUUUUCCAAGUAUCGAAAUAUUAUACUCAAAACCAAUAUAAUUAUCUUCCAAUUAAAUAUUAGAAAUGUAUGUGAUCACAAAAAAGGCUCAAGUGCCAAAAAUGUCACACUUAAUCCUUUGAUUUAGUGUUUUAAAUUACUGUGGCCUUAAUUUAGUUAUAAUUACAUUAUUUUUAAAUUUUCCAAAGAAAAGAAAACAUUGAAGAAAAAUCACCACUUAAUUCUUUCCGUGUUGCCUUAAUGCCUUCAAAAUACUCAACUCACGAUAUUAUCAAAAAAAAAGAAAAACAUUUUCAAAAACAAGAAGAAAUAAAAACGUAUACAUAAAUCAUCUUAUAAAAUCAUUAAAAGCACAUGCCAUUACCAUUUAACCUGCCGCCUCUUAACUCUUUCUAAUUCUCAAUCUAACAGCAAUUUGUCUCCAAAAAAGAAAUACAAGUUUAAAAUACCGAAAUAUAAGUCGGCAUGAAAUACAAAAAAUACAAAAUUGUAUAUUGCAUGGUAACACAACAUUUUAAUUUAAAAACUCUUUCAUUCGGGAAGUACGGCUAUAGGUAGGUUCAUAUUAUAUAGAGCGAGAAUUUUUGUCCUUGAUGUAUUUUAUUUUAAAACGAAUUCUAUACACCCAAGAGCAAAAUGAGUUUAACUCAAAAAAAAUUAAAAAAUAAAACAAAACAAAAAUAAAAUAAAGAAAAUUACACUAAAUUGGCUUCAAUUAUUGUAUUAAAUUUUUGGGUUGGUUAUAGUUUCGGCAUUUUUUUCUUUUUCUUGUACGAGUAUAUAAUUUUCAGGGUAGGACUGUAAGCGCCAUUUCGUGUGCGCCUUCUUAUUCUCUUAUCCUAUUAACGCCCUCUUGGAUUUAGUGUUUUUGUAUAUUUUGAAAAAAAAAUUGGAAAAAUAAGGAACAACAUGAAAUCGAAUAAGAAUUGAACACGAGAUUUGAUUUUUUAGAGACAUCAAACUAUUUUUCUCGAGAAGAUUUUUAGCUCAGAAAAAUUCUAAAAAUUUUCAAAAAAAUUCAAAAAAUCUUAAAACUUAAAUAAAAAAUAAAAAUCUUUACCUAUUUCACUCUUUUUUAAGAAUUUUUCUUAGGUUGAUUUUUUGUUUUAUCCUAUUUUUGUGUUGCAUAUUUUUAGGAAGAAUAUCUUUAUCAAUAUUUUUCACUCUCACUGUGUCAAUAUUUUUAAUAUUUUUUUUUUAUUAAUCACAUUUAUUUAUUUAUGAUUUUUUGUUACAUAAACAAAAUUAUAUUAUUUUUCAAUCCACAAAAAUUUUCACUUAAGUUUAUUUUUUUUUGUUUAAAAAAAUUGCAUAGUUUUGUCAUUUUGUGUAAAUUUUUUAACGCGUUAAUUUUGCUAGAUUUCAUUUUUUUUAAAUGACGGAUAUUCAAUCUUGUAAAACCCGCCGCACAGAACGAGCAUUUAAAAGCGAAUGCGAUCUUAGCUAAAAUAACUCUUCAAACAGAGCCUCACGACUUGACUUAAUCUCAAAAGCAUUUUCUUCAAUCGUAUACCACUUCGUUUAAAGUUAUGGUUUUUGUUUGUGUUUUAAGUAAGUUUUAUUAAACAAAGUACAAAGUAUCUAAAGUGGAAAUAUUCACCACCACCACAUCACACUUUAUUUCCGCCAUGCAAAAAAUUAUAGUAUUGCAAAAUUAUUAACAAAAUUAAAAAUAAAAAUAUUUAUACACCAGCAGCAGUCGUAGUGAAUGCGAAAGAUACAAAGGAAGUAGGAAAAGAUAUGGUUCGUAUCUUUCAGAUACACUUUUACACACUGAGUAUAUGAGAGUACUAUUUUUUUAUAUAGUUUGGAUUGGAUUGGAUUAGAUUGAACGACGAGACGACGACGAAGUUUGAUGCUCGCCGUCGCUGAUGCCGCUGCCGUAUAAGUUAAGAGUACUUGCUGCUGAUGUUUUGUAGUUGUUGCUGCUGCCGCGACGGCAGUUGCGAUUCUGGCUUUAGAUGAAUUUUUGCACGAACCGUGAACCCAAAAUGAGGUUGUUUUCAGACCAAAAUCCAUACAACAACAACAAAAAGUGGCAGCAACAGCAGCAAAUACACCUUUUUGCAUGCGGAUCCACAUCCACAUCCACUUUGUACAAAGUUAAUAUUACACUCUCCAUGUACACUCUCCCGGUCGGUCGGUCUUUCGAUCCGAUCCGUCCAAGUCCGAGACUGAGUCGUUCAGUCUUUCGGUGGUGAAGGUAGGUAGGUAAGGUUAGGUACGACUAUAUCUGGAAGGAGAUGAUGAUGAUGUAGAUGGGACGGUAGUGGGGGUGGUGAUGGUGGUGGAUGUCGAUGUGGUGUCGGUAGUGUGGUGUUGUGUGGUUUGCUUGGGGUAGAUAAAUAUAUUUCCACCAAAAAAACAACACCAAAAGCGAAACGUUCAAAAAUUCAGCGCGAUUUCCUACACACAACCGUCAUCCACGUCACUGUGCGGCGUAUUGAAACUUUGAUGGCAAGUUGAUGGACAUUGAAUCUUAAACUAUGUCUCGUGAUCCUUCUCCUCCCAUAUUUAUUCAACCUUAUGUGUGGUAAGCCAGUCAGUGCCACAGCCAGUGCCAGUUGUUUGACGGAGGGAGCCAAAGACGAAACAUAAAGAAGAAAACGAGAAACACAUCACUAAGAACAACAACAAAAUGGAAAAAAAUGCAACGCCCCGCUACUGCCGAUGCCGAAUGAGGUGGCAAAAUUAUUAUAUUCACCACUCUCGUUAAAAAGUGUAUCUGCGCCUUAAAACAAAUGGCUCCCCUUUUUUUCGAUGCAUCAAUGGAGGGGGUUGGGGCGAGGAGUAAGAAGUCGAUUGCAAUUUUUACCACUUGAAAAGCAAGGGCGGUGGGGUAGCAGGGGUGUUUUUGGGGAAAAUUGUACACUGCACAAAUACCGACAAAGGCAAAAAUGGAAAUCAACAAAGCGGAACACCGUUAAUGUGCGAGUGAGUAAGUUCAGUUCAGUUUUAAGGGAAAAAUGAAAAUUCACCCGAGCGGAAUUUUGUAUGAAUGCAUUUCCCCCCUUAAUAAAAAUUCAACAACACCAACAAAAAAAGGGGAAUUUGUUUUUGACUGAAUGGAAACUCACCAUUACACGUAUUCGCAAAGUAAAAAAAGGGUUGAAUGCAGCCAACAACCCUUUUUGUUGUUUUAAAACAAAUUUAUUAUUAAUUACAAAAAUAACUGCAUCCAUUUCAUACAAGUGAAUCGAAAAACCGGUUUUUGAAAUCGUAACUUUUUGUUUAAAGGGGUAGUUUGGUAGGUGCACUCUGGACUCCUGGAUUCUCUAAAUAGAAGACUCACCUGUGUUCGAAAAGUGGGGAUUUCUAUAGAAUUUUUCUGCGCAAAUGUCACCACGCAUUCUUAUCACCUUAUGUGUGCCCCUUUCCUUCUCACCUCACAACAACCCCCUUAAAAGUAUAUUUCUAAACGGAAUCGGCUUCGGCGUUCAACGUUCAGCGUUAAGUAUUCGAAGUUCGACGGCAUAUCAAAUGGAAAAAUGAUUUUCAUGUUUUCAUGAAUGUCGUUCUCUUUACCUGGGUGGAAGCAAAAAGAAAAAGAAAAACAAACAAACAAUAAAAGGAAAAAAGAAAAAAGGAAAGGAGGGCAGCAACAACAAGAAAAACGAAAAAAGAAAAA
Molecule: long non-coding RNA, 3754 nt
Organism: Eupeodes corollae
Lineage: Eukaryota; Metazoa; Arthropoda; Insecta; Diptera; Syrphidae
Exons: 3
Source: RefSeq, a predicted model, not a curated record